GAGUAGCUGCGCUCCCCUG
RNAcentral lists this non-coding RNA (19 nucleotides) under Mus musculus (house mouse). The record is from RNAcentral. Lineage: Eukaryota; Metazoa; Chordata; Mammalia; Rodentia; Muridae.